Molecule: ribosomal RNA, 165 nt
Filed under: Veronica multifida
Lineage: Eukaryota; Viridiplantae; Streptophyta; Magnoliopsida; Lamiales; Plantaginaceae
Also listed under: 1 other name
Description: 5.8S ribosomal RNA
Rfam family: 5.8S ribosomal RNA
About the family: 5.8S ribosomal RNA (5.8S rRNA) is a component of the large subunit of the eukaryotic ribosome. It is transcribed by RNA polymerase I as part of the 45S precursor that also contains 18S and 28S rRNA. Functionally, it is thought that 5.8S rRNA may be involved in ribosome translocation.
Source: RNAcentral
UAAACGACUCUCGGCAACGGAUAUCUCGGCUCUCGCAUCGAUGAAGAACGUAGCGAAAUGCGAUACUUGGUGUGAAUUGCAGAAUCCCGUGAACCAUCGAGUCUUUGAACGCAAGUUGCGCCCGAAGCCUUCAGGCCGAGGGCACGCCUGCCUGGGCGUCACGCA